RNAcentral lists this non-coding RNA (429 nucleotides) under Brassica napus (rape). RNAcentral's name for it is "rRNA LSU_rRNA_eukarya". It matches the Rfam family "Eukaryotic large subunit ribosomal RNA", at positions 1456 to 1888 of the family's 3401-position model. Lineage: Eukaryota; Viridiplantae; Streptophyta; Magnoliopsida; Brassicales; Brassicaceae. The record is from Rfam by way of RNAcentral.
GGUAGUAGCAAAUAUUCAAAUGAGAACUUUGAAGGCCAAAGAGGGGAAAGGUUCCAUGUGAACGGCACUUGCACAAGGGUUAGUCGAUCCUAAGAGUCGGGGAAAACCCGUCUAAUAGCGCUUAUGCGCGAACUUCGAAAGGGGAUCUGGAUAAAAUUCCAGAACUGGGACGUGGCGGUUGAUGGCAACGUUAGGAAGUCCGGAGACGUCGGCGCGAAUUUUGGAAAGAGUUAUCUUUUCUGUUUAACAGCCUGCCCACCCUGGAAAUGGCUCAGCCGGAGGUAGGGUCCAGCGGCUGGAAGAGCACCGCAUGUUGCGUGGUGUCCGCUGCAUUCCCGGCAGCCCUUGAAAAUCCAGAGGACCGAGUGCCGCUCACGCCCGUUCGUACUCAUAACCGCAUCAGGUCUCCAAGGUGAAGAGCCUCUGGUC